Molecule: transfer RNA, 77 nt
Filed under: Clostridiales bacterium
Lineage: Bacteria; Bacillati; Bacillota; Clostridia; Eubacteriales
Also listed under: 1 other name
Description: tRNA-Arg
Rfam family: tRNA
About the family: Transfer RNA (tRNA) molecules are approximately 80 nucleotides in length. Their secondary structure includes four short double-helical elements and three loops (D, anti-codon, and T loops).
Source: RNAcentral
GUACCCGUAGCUCAGCUGGAUAGAGUGUCUGACUACGGAUCAGAAGGUCACAGGUUCGAAUCCUGUCGGGUACGCCA